UGUAGAGUGGUAAACUGAAGUCCCUGAGUUAUUCACUUAGAAAUUAGACAUCAAACUAUGGAUAAUCCAGCAAAAUUAUGAUACGUAUGAUUGUAUUAAUGAUAAGGUUGCCUUCUUUGGGUAUAUCACUGUAUCACAGUUUGCAUAAGUAAUAGAAUACUAUUAUUCAUAGCAAGUUAUAAGCUCAAGCUCAAGCUGGUCAUAGUUGAUAGAACAAAGGUUAUAGAGAAAUUCUUAAAAUGAGUACUUGCUAUCAAUUCUGGUUUUUUAGUACUAGGAUUUAAAUAAGCAUCAAUCGCUUGUCCAAGUUUAUGCAACAGCAAAAUCACCUACUGUAAGGUGGAUCACAUCCUAAGAUUGGUGCAAGUCUAUUGGUCUAGAGAAUGUGACUUGGGAUUGUGCUAGUUAUGGAGUAAUAUGGACCAUAGAUUAAAUACAAUGGUUGGAUUUAAUCUUGUAGUCAAUUACCUAUACUAGUGUUGUUACUCUCUUGUUCAUAGUACAAU
Molecule: long non-coding RNA, 506 nt
Filed under: Olea europaea (common olive)
Lineage: Eukaryota; Viridiplantae; Streptophyta; Magnoliopsida; Lamiales; Oleaceae
Description: long non-coding RNA (OEUR_LNC005358)
Source: RNAcentral